Molecule: transfer RNA, 69 nt
Filed under: Ulva pertusa
Lineage: Eukaryota; Viridiplantae; Chlorophyta; Ulvophyceae; Ulvales; Ulvaceae
Description: tRNA-Asn
Rfam family: tRNA
About the family: Transfer RNA (tRNA) molecules are approximately 80 nucleotides in length. Their secondary structure includes four short double-helical elements and three loops (D, anti-codon, and T loops).
Source: RNAcentral
GCUUUUGAAGCUCAGUGGUUGACAAGCUGUUAAGCUUGAAAGGAGUAGGUUCAAAUCCUAUCAAAAGCG